CCUACGGGGGGCAGCAGUGAGGAAUAUUGGUCAAUGGCCGGAAGGCUGAACCAGCCAUGCCGCGUGAAGGUCAGUGCCCUAUGGGCGUUAAACUUCUUUUGUGCGGGAGCAAUAAUGGUCACGUGUGGCCAGACGAGAGUACCGUACGAAUAAGCUUCGGCUAACUCCGUGCCAGCAGCCGCGGUAAUACGGGGGGGGCAAGCGUUAUCCGGAUUUAUUGGGUUUAAAGGGUGCGUAGGCUGGGAGGUAAGUCAGCGGUGAAAUGCCCCCGCGCAUCGGGGUGAAGUGCCAUUGAUACUGCCUUGAUGGAAUGCGGAUGCCGUGGGAGGAAUGUGUGGUGUAGCGGUGAAAGGCAUAGAUAGCACACAGAACACCGAUUGCGAAGGCAUCUCACGAAUCCGCGAUUGACGCUGAUGCACGAAAGCGUGGGUAUCAAACAGGAUUAGAUACCCCAGUAGUC
This 460-nucleotide ribosomal RNA is filed under the name uncultured bacterium. Its description in RNAcentral is "partial 16S ribosomal RNA". It matches the Rfam family "Bacterial small subunit ribosomal RNA", at positions 338 to 795 of the family's 1533-position model. The record is from RNAcentral.